Molecule: transfer RNA, 64 nt
Filed under: Lamiinae sp. 4 ACP-2013
Lineage: Eukaryota; Metazoa; Arthropoda; Insecta; Coleoptera; Cerambycidae
Description: tRNA-Arg
Source: RNAcentral
UAAUAAGAAGCAAAAAAUUGCUUUUAGUUUCGACCUAAAAAUUUGAUGAUUCCUCAUCCUUAUU